Molecule: long non-coding RNA, 201 nt
Filed under: Elaeis guineensis (African oil palm)
Lineage: Eukaryota; Viridiplantae; Streptophyta; Magnoliopsida; Arecales; Arecaceae
Description: long non-coding RNA (EGUI_LNC053176)
Source: RNAcentral
GGCCUGAGGAUCUACAUAAUAAGAUUAGAAAUUUUGUAGCUAAAACUUAGUUUAUUUGAUUAUCAUAGACUUGUAGUUAACUAUUUAUGAAUUUUGAGACAUAGGUUUGAUAUAUGAUUGUGAAUUUAGAUGCUCCAAAUAAAUUUUGAUUUAAUUACAUGAUGACUAAAUUUUUUACUAUAUUUUAUUUAUGAUAGAUUU